UAGAGCACUUGCUGCCCAGCCCUGGCUACACAUAUAUCUGGGUUUGUUUUUAAAAUGGUGUUGCCUGGGCCUAAUCCCAGAGCAAUGGAAUAAGUAUCUCUGAGUCAUUCUAAUAUCCAACUGCGGGUGAGGACCACUGGUGAAGUGAACAAGAACGGACUGACAGGGCAUGAUUCCAGAUCACGAUUUCAGAACGCAUCCUGGCCAGCAGGGAGCUGCCCGAGUUAUCCUCAGGAACACCUUGGCCUCCUGAGAAUCUGCCCAACCAAAAUUCCUGGGAGCAGGGCCAGACUCACUCAGGCGAUUUCUGGUCUUGCCGGGGAAUCAGUUUUGAGCCAGAACCUAUUCCAAGUUGGGAGGUUUCUCAUCAUCCACCAUCCCCCAAAUGAUGUCUGAGCACCCUGGCCUGUCUUCAGCAAGAAUGUCAUUAAGUAGCUUCAGCCAGGACUCCCCCUUACCCUUGAGGAUUCUCUUAGCAAUUUUCCAUCCACUGAUGCCAUGCUGCUCCUUGGAUGUCAAUUCCCAUUUGCGUAUGCUGUAUUUGAAGUAGAGCCCAGUCUCUCUCUCCCACUGCAAAAUGUCACUGUAGAGAUCUCUACACCUAUGCUAAUCAUCUAAAUAAAG
This 624-nucleotide long non-coding RNA is filed under the name Pan troglodytes (chimpanzee). RNAcentral's name for it is "long non-coding RNA NONPTRT017518". The record is from RNAcentral. Lineage: Eukaryota; Metazoa; Chordata; Mammalia; Primates; Hominidae.